ACUGGGUGUAAAAGAUAAAUCUUAUUCUAUCUGUUCUUAAUCAGUUUUAGAUAAUUUUAGUUGUAUUUCUUUGUAAUUUUGUGUUGUACAAAGAUUAAUUUAACAUUUUCUCUGGAAGUGUUAAUUUAGGAAGAUAAUAUGCUUCAUUGGUGUUGUGUUUUGAAGUGUGAAAUGCAAAGUAAUUGUGAUAAAGUCAAGAUAAAGUUCACUUUUAAACUGAACUAAAUAAGGUAUCUGAGAGACAACAAUGGUUAAAUGCAAUACAAUGUACAGGUUUUACUAGCGAAACGAAAAUUUUCCUGUCCUGUCUGCUGUAAUCAUUUUAUAUCUGGUAAGUUACAAUUACAACAGUAACGAUUUUUGAAGAUGUUAACAUUUUAAUCUUAUAGGAAAACCAGCCGACUUAAUCGAUAAUAACAAUCUCCAGAUUGGGUUCCUUCAAUAAAUAUGGGCUAUAAACACAAUGAAAUAAGUUCCCCAAAAUCUAAAAUGGAGUGGUAUCAAAGGAGAAUUAAAGGAAAAAAUAUUCAUAUUGAAAUUAUUUAUAAGGCACUGGACUGUCUUAAAUUCUACAAUAAUACUAGAAUCAGCUGAGAGAAGUGGUCUACAAAAAACCAGGAAGGAAACGGAAUAUGUGGCUACGAAAGGCAAAAGAAAGGUUUACAAAGCAAAUGUGACACAUUUUUUUGAAAUAUUUAGGAAUAUCAGUAAAUUGCAUUAAAAGAAUGUAUGAAAAGAUUUUGUUCAAUAAAAAUGUUUAUAUUUA
Molecule: long non-coding RNA, 766 nt
Organism: Diabrotica virgifera virgifera (western corn rootworm)
Lineage: Eukaryota; Metazoa; Arthropoda; Insecta; Coleoptera; Chrysomelidae
Exons: 2
Source: RefSeq, a predicted model, not a curated record